This 504-nucleotide ribosomal RNA is filed under the name uncultured bacterium. Its description in RNAcentral is "bacterial SSU rRNA". It matches the Rfam family "Bacterial small subunit ribosomal RNA", at positions 22 to 518 of the family's 1533-position model. The record is from RNAcentral.
GCUCAGGAUGAACGCUAGCGGCAGGCUUAACACGAUGCAAGUCGAGGGGCAUCGGGAGUAGCAAUACUGCCGGCGACCGGCGCAAGGGUGCGUAACGCGUGAGCAACAUGCCCGUAUCAGGGGGGAUAAUCCAUGGAAACGUGGUCUAAUACCCCAUAGUAAUUAUGUAAGGCAUCUUAUAUAAUUUAAAGCUUUGGUGGAUACGGAUUGGCUCGCGUGACAUUAGCUGGAUGGUAAGGUAACGGCUUACCAUGGCUACGAUGUCUAGGGGUUCUGAGAGGAAGGUCCCCCACACUGGAACUGAGACACGGUCCAGACUCCUACGGGAGGCAGCAGUGAGGAAUAUUGGACAAUGGAUGGAAAUCUGAUCCAGCCAUGCCGCGUGGCCAGGAAGACGGCCCUAUGGGUUGUAAACUGCUUUUGUAUGGGAGCAAUAAGGGCUACGUGUAGUCCGAUGAGAGUACCAUACGAAUAAGCACCGGCUAACUCCGUGCCAGCCGCGGC